Lolium perenne is the source of this 931-nucleotide long non-coding RNA. RefSeq lists it as uncharacterized. Lineage: Eukaryota; Viridiplantae; Streptophyta; Magnoliopsida; Poales; Poaceae. The record is from RefSeq and is a predicted model, not a curated record.
AGAAGAAUAUGUUUUCUGCCCGUCAUACAUGUUUGAUGUUGCCCCUCUGAAACAUGAGUAUUAUUCCAUUCCCAUUUUUUCAGUGUGAAAAGCAUAGAGGCAGAUAUUUAUUGCAGCUUAGCCUCGACUAUCACUGCUCUAAGAAAAACACACCAUUAGCCUUUGGAGUUGUUGUGGUUAUCACCAAUCAAGUAGUGGCACAAGUGGAUGGGUCUGCGAUGUUUGCUGGGCCACAAGUGGAUUCCUUGUAUACUGAAUUUGAAUGUAUGUUUAUUUUUCAGACUAAUAGCAUGUAGCAAUUGAUUUCUAAUUUUUAAAAUCUACAUGUGCAAGUUUGCUCUCAUGAAUGUAGACAGUGCCACAGCUCUGUACAGAACUGAUUUUUGCAUGCAGCAUGAAGAUGAAGGAUAAGAAGAGGCGAUGUCUUCGACUGGUUGGAGAGCCAACCUGGGCGUCAAAGAAGAGGCGACAGACCAAUGAGGCAGAUCACGGGGCGUCGGCGAGCCGGCAGACCUCGGGGCGUCGGUGUUGGCAACCAGUGUUAUCACGGAGCAUCGGCGAGGCGGCAGUCCUCGGGCGUCGGCGAGGCGGCAGACCUCGGGGCGUCGGUGUUGGCAACCAGUGUUUGCCAAGAAGGCAGACGUCGGAGAAGAGACGGCAGACCACUGGGCAGCGAGGUGGUUGCCGUACGGAAGGCAUCGGAGAAGAGAUGGCAGCGUAAGAGUGAGAAGAGACGGCAGCGUGAGGGGAGAGAUGAUUUCCUAUUCCGCCCAGCUGAUUCAUAGGGAUACGUCUGGGCUGAUUGGUUUCCUUGUACGUCUGCGCUGAUUGGUUUCCUUGUAUGUCUAGGCUGAUUUUUUUCCUUGUAUGUCUCGGCUGAUAGCUGAUUGACUGCUGGAUUGCAUGCUGAUUGAUUGCUGGAUUCCUUGUA